RNAcentral lists this ribosomal RNA (421 nucleotides) under Paraburkholderia kururiensis. Its description in RNAcentral is "bacterial SSU rRNA". It matches the Rfam family "Bacterial small subunit ribosomal RNA", at positions 473 to 896 of the family's 1533-position model. Lineage: Bacteria; Pseudomonadati; Pseudomonadota; Betaproteobacteria; Burkholderiales; Burkholderiaceae. The record is from RNAcentral.
GGUAGCCGGAAGAAUAAGCACCGGCUAACUACGUGCCAGCAGCCGCGGUAAUACGUAGGGUGCGAGCGUUAAUCGGAAUUACUGGGCGUAAAGCGUGCGCAGGCGGUGCUGUAAGACCGAUGUGAAAUCCCCGGGCUUAACCUGGGAACUGCAUUGGUGACUGCAGCGCUGGAGUAUGGCAGAGGGGGGUGGAAUUCCACGUGUAGCAGUGAAAGCGUAGAGAUGUGGAGGAACACCGAUGGCGAAGGCAGCCCCCUGGGCCAAUACUGACGCUCAUGCACGAAGCGUGGGGAGCAAACAGGAUUAGAUACCCUGGUAGUCCACGCCCUAAACGAUGUCAACUGGUUGUUGGGGAUUCAUUUCCUUAGUAACGUAGCUAACCCGUGAAGUUGACCGCCUGGGGAGUACGGUCGCAAGUUUU